UGUACCUUGUUGCUUCGGUGCGCCCGCCUCACGGCCGCCGGGGGGCUUCUGCCCCCGGGUCCGCGCGCACCGGAGACACCAUUGAACUCUGUCUGAAGAUUGCAGUCUGAGCAUAAACUAAAUAAGUUAAAACUUUCAACAACGGAUCUCUUGGUUCCGGCAUCGAUGAAGAACGCAGCGAAAUGCGAUAACUAAUGUGAAUUGCAGAAUUCAGUGAAUCAUCGAGUCUUUGAACGCACAUUGCGCCCCCUGGUAUUCCGGGGGGCAUGCCUGUCCGAGCGUCAUUGCUGCCCUCAAGCACGGCUUGUGUGUUGGGCUCCGUCCCCCCGGGGACGGGUCCGAAAGGCAGCGGCGGCACCGAGUCCGGUCCUCGAGCGUAUGGGGCUUUGUCACCCGCUCUGUAGGCCCGGCCGGCGCCAGCCGACAACCAAUCAUCCUUUUUUCAGGUUGACCUCGGAUCAGGUAGGGAUACCCGCUGAACUUAAGCAUAUC
Molecule: ribosomal RNA, 492 nt
Filed under: Penicillium thomii
Lineage: Eukaryota; Fungi; Ascomycota; Eurotiomycetes; Eurotiales; Aspergillaceae
Description: eukaryotic LSU rRNA
Rfam family: 5.8S ribosomal RNA (bases 131-284)
Source: RNAcentral